UAUGGUCGUAUGAUGAUUUAUAAUGCAUAGUUCAGAUGAAUAUCUGUGAUUAUUAUAUUUCUUAGUCUUUCGCUCCUAUCUGACGACCUAU
Small nucleolar RNA from Humulus lupulus (European hop), 91 nucleotides. RefSeq annotates it as small nucleolar RNA snR60/Z15/Z230/Z193/J17. NCBI's taxonomy places the organism in Eukaryota, Viridiplantae, Streptophyta, Magnoliopsida, Rosales, Cannabaceae. The record is from RefSeq and is a predicted model, not a curated record. The transcript has a single exon.